This 121-nucleotide small nucleolar RNA is filed under the name Meriones unguiculatus (Mongolian gerbil). RNAcentral describes it as "Small nucleolar RNA SNORA70 (ENSMUGG00000021101.1)". It matches the Rfam family "Small nucleolar RNA SNORA70". From Rfam's summary of the family: snoRNA U70 seems to be exclusive to mammals and is a member of the H/ACA class of snoRNA which contain H (ANANNA) and ACA box motifs. H/ACA box snoRNAs are involved in the conversion of uridines to pseudouridines (5-ribosyluracil) a constituent of structural RNAs (transfer, ribosomal, small nuclear, and small nucleolar). The record is from RNAcentral. Lineage: Eukaryota; Metazoa; Chordata; Mammalia; Rodentia; Muridae.
CUGCAGCAGGGAAGCUCACCAGGUCUUUUACUUACAGGGGUGUGCAAUGGCUGCAACAGCACCCUCCUUGGGAAAGUGCAGCCUGGUGCUUGGGUUGUCAUAAGGGACCUUGGAUUGGAAA